UUAUUAAACGAAAAUGUUGUUAUAAAAUCGUGUUGACACGAUUUUAUAACAACAUUUUCGUUUAAUAA
This 68-nucleotide small RNA is filed under the name Mytilus galloprovincialis (Mediterranean mussel). The record is from RNAcentral. Lineage: Eukaryota; Metazoa; Mollusca; Bivalvia; Mytilida; Mytilidae.